RNAcentral lists this ribosomal RNA (422 nucleotides) under uncultured Oscillospiraceae bacterium. RNAcentral's name for it is "bacterial SSU rRNA". It matches the Rfam family "Bacterial small subunit ribosomal RNA", at positions 354 to 794 of the family's 1533-position model. Lineage: Bacteria; Bacillati; Bacillota; Clostridia; Eubacteriales; Oscillospiraceae. The record is from RNAcentral.
UGGGGGAAUAUUGCACAAUGGAGGAAACUCUGAUGCAGCGACGCCGCGUGAGGGAAGAAGGUUUUCGGAUUGUAAACCUCUGUCUUCGGUGACGAAAAUGACGGUAGCCGAGGAGGAAGCCACGGCUAACUACGUGCCAGCAGCCGCGGUAAUACGUAGGUGGCAAGCGUUGUCCGGAAUUACUGGGUGUAAAGGGAGCGUAGGCGGGAAGGCAAGUUGAUUGUCUAAACUAUGGGCUCAACCCAUAGUCGCGAUCAAAACUACUUUUCUUGAGUGAAGUAGAGGUAAGCGGAAUUCCUAGUGUAGCGGUGAAAUGCUUAGAUAUCACGAAGAACUCCGAUUGCGAAGGCGGCUCACGGGAGCGCAACUGACGCUGAGGCUCGAAAGCGUGGGGAGCAAACAGGAUUAGAUACCCUGGUAGU